UGUCGCGAGGUGUGAAACCCACGCGCACGAAAUACAAAUUACAAACCACUGUUUAGUGUUUACAUUUCCUUCUCUACUGUGACAACUGUGCUUCGAGUCUGUUACAAGUUUAAAUUAUGUUUAUUGUGAAGGCGAUUUUAAGAUUUUUUUGGAGAUGAACACACGAGAGCUUAUGAUGUUGUAUAAAGAAGAAAUUAUAAGAGGCGAAUAAAUUGAUGGUUCCGUUACAAACGAUGCAAAGAAAUUCAAGACUUCGAAGGUCCCGAAUAGCUUGAAAGUGAAAAGUCUGCUUCAUUCUAAUAAUUCAGAGACCACCGAAGCGCAUGGCGACGCGAACAGAUUCGACAUCACAAGAGAGACUUGGUGACCUUUGUUGAUUAUGAAGAUCAUGAAUUAAGGCGAUGAUGUUAUUGCAACAGUUGAGCAGGCACCAUACACUCCAACAAACAAGAACAAGGGUGACCAACAAGACAAGAAAACACCACCAAGUGUCAAGUCGAGACGACAUCAAGUCAAUAAACUGUUUAUAGAGUAAGACAUUAUUUUAAAAUAAACUGCAUGCUUCAAGAUAUUUAUAUAAUUCAUUACUGUGACUUCAUGUUAAUUCUUAAUAGUAUUGGAACUUAAAAUAUAUUUAUAAAUUAAUAUUGUGUUUGUGUGUUUUCUAGCCCUGUUUAUAUGUUACUUUUAGGAAAGGUGUGCAACUUUUUACUUAAACAAUUUGUGUGUUCUCCAGCACAGCUUUAGCUGUGUAAUGAAACACACCAUGGUGUGUAUGAAAACACACCUUCUUUGAAAACACACCUUAGAACGUGUUAAAAUUUGGACAAGCCAAAAACACAUCUUUUGGUGUGUUUUUUGACACACCUUUUAGUGUGUUCUACACACCUUUUGGUGUGCACA
This 903-nucleotide long non-coding RNA is filed under the name Dendronephthya gigantea. Its description in RNAcentral is "uncharacterized LOC114543537". The record is from RNAcentral. Lineage: Eukaryota; Metazoa; Cnidaria; Anthozoa; Malacalcyonacea; Nephtheidae.